This 425-nucleotide ribosomal RNA is filed under the name uncultured bacterium. RNAcentral describes it as "partial 16S ribosomal RNA". It matches the Rfam family "Bacterial small subunit ribosomal RNA", at positions 354 to 796 of the family's 1533-position model. The record is from RNAcentral.
GUUAGGAAUAUUGGACAAUGGGCGAAAGCCUGAUCCAGCCAUGCCGCGUGAACGAUGAAGGCCUUCGGGUUGUAAAGUUCUUUAGCCGAUGAUUAUAAUGACUGUAGUCGGAAAAUAAGCCCCGGCUAACUUCGUGCCAGCAGCCGCGGUAAUACGAAGGGGGCGAGCGUUAUUCGGAAUCACUGGGCGUAAAGCGUGCGUAGGCGGCUUUGCAAGUUGGGAGUGAAAGCCCAGGGCUCAACCCUGAAAUUGCUCUCAAAACUGCAAGGCUCGAAUUCGGGAGAGGAUAGCGGAAUUGUCAGUGUAGCAGUGAAAUGCGUAGAUAUUGACAGGAACACCAGUGGCGUAAGCGGCUAUCUGGACCGAUAUUGACGCUGAGGCACGAAAGCGUGGGGAUCAAACAGGAUUAGAUACCCUGGUAGUCC